RNAcentral lists this long non-coding RNA (292 nucleotides) under Elaeis guineensis (African oil palm). Its description in RNAcentral is "long non-coding RNA (EGUI_LNC008118)". Lineage: Eukaryota; Viridiplantae; Streptophyta; Magnoliopsida; Arecales; Arecaceae. The record is from RNAcentral.
CGAGCCGUACCACCAUUGAGGUGAGAAUCUGAACCUUCAUGGUAUGAGGUUUAUCCUUUUUGCUUGAACUAAUUGCAUGGUCUUUUGCUUGCAAGGAGCCUAUAAUGCUCGGAUUUUGGCCAACCUUGCUGAAUUCCUCCAAAAGGAGCUCCCAUCUUUGGAAGAUUGGGGGAGAUGGGGCUAGAGCUGAGGAAUAGUUCUAGGCAGUAAUAAAGUCCUUAAAGAAGGUAGAGCAUCGAGCUUACCUUGAAAGGAUAAGGGCUGAUAUUGUCGAGCUGAAGCUGAAGGCCGA